UAAGGAAUAUUGGACAAUGGUCGCAAGACUGAUCCAGCCAUGCCGCGUGCAGGAAGACGGCCCUAUGGGUUGUAAACUGCUUUUGUACCAGAGAAAACCUAUCUACGUGUAGAUAGCUGAUAGUAUGGUAGGAAUAAGCACCGGCUAACUCCGUGCCAGCAGCCGCGGUAAUACGGAGGGUGCGAGCGUUAUCCGGAUUUACUGGGUUUAAAGGGUGCGUAGGUGGGCUUAUAAGUCAGUGGUGAAAUCUCCGAGCUUAACUUGGAAACUGCCGUUGAUACUAUAGGUCUUUAAUUAUCUGGAGGUAAGCGGAAUAUGUCAUGUAGCGGUGAAAUGCUUAGAUAUGACAUAGAACACCAAUUGCGAAGGCAGCUUACUACAUAUAAAUUGACGCUGAGGCACGAAAGCGUGGGGAUCAAACA
Molecule: ribosomal RNA, 422 nt
Filed under: uncultured bacterium
Lineage: Bacteria
Description: bacterial SSU rRNA
Rfam family: Bacterial small subunit ribosomal RNA
Source: RNAcentral